Molecule: non-coding RNA, 1192 nt
Organism: Delphinapterus leucas (beluga whale)
Lineage: Eukaryota; Metazoa; Chordata; Mammalia; Artiodactyla; Monodontidae
Source: RefSeq, a predicted model, not a curated record
GGGCACGAACCCGUGUCCCCUGCAUCGGCAGGCGGACUCUCAACCACUGAGCCACCAGGGAAGCCCCUGCGAGCUGUUUUAAGUGGCUGUUUAAACACUACUGGAGAAGCUAGCUGGAUCACUAGACAGCCUGAAGUGUGUCCUUUGCAGUGGAAGAUCACAGUGAAUCCAGUGCUAAAGGACAAACAUCUGGCAAAGCAGCCUGGAUCAGAGAGAAGAAGGCAGCAUGAGGACUUCUGCUACAGAAUGAAGGAACCUACCUCAAGAAGAUGCCAGAAGUUGAGAGGAAAUACUAAGCACUGAGCCAAAGGACAACAAUGAUUCUGUCACAAAAGCCAACACACCCCAAGAGAUUUGGGAGCCCAGCCAACCUGAACUUGGAAGCAGUGAUGAAGCUGUCGACUGCCCGAGACUUUUCAUUCUGAUUCAGUGCAAAAAUGGUGGCACAGGACAAAGUGGUACCCAACUAGGUUCUAUGAAGCCUAGGUUUCAUCUCCUGAGUAUUGUGCCAUGAACCAGGCCACAGCUUGACAAUUGAAGUUGACCUCGCAGCACUGCCCCCCAAGAAAACUGUUGACUGCAAUCUCUGACAUUAGAACCCUCUACAGUCCUUAUCUUGGACCUUUGAGACUCAAGCUGCCACAUUAUGUGAACUAUGGUCAGUAACAUACCAAUCAGUUUUAUUCACCAGGUAUCAAGCUGAGGCUGAAUAAGUAGCUUGUUAUACUUCUGAAAUUAAUAGUCAUUUUGACGAGUUAUAUUUUUCUCUUAAUUUUUUUAAAAAAUUUUCUUUAAUUGAUGAAUGCUUACUGGAUCUCUAGAGAACUGUAAGUGACUUAGGCUAGUUGGUCCAGAGUAGUAGACUGAGCCAAUAAAUUUUAACCCCUUUUUUUUUCCCCUGCUUGGCUCCUAAAUUAAGUGUUGAACAAUUAAGAGUGUCUAGUUGUUUUUUUUUUCAUUAUGUAUAAUAGUUUUUCAUGUGUAGCACCAUGUUGAUUUUGUUCUUAUAUGAACCAAUGACCUAAUAUUUACUUAAACUUAUUUAUUAAACCAUCAUAAAAGAAGAAUGAUUUAAUUUCUUAAGCCACACUGGGCUGGGGUAGAUAGUCCAGUGUAGUAUAAUAAUCUUACCCUUUAAGGUUAUCUUUUAGAAGGAUGACUUUCACUUGAAAUGUCUGUUGGCAAUAAAGAC